GACGAACCGAGCGAACGUUGUUCGGAAUCACUGGGCUUAAAGGGCGCGUAGGCGGGUGCUCAAGUCCGGGGUGAAAUCCUCCAGCUCAACUGGAGAACUGCCUCGGAUACUGGGUGCCUCGAGGGUGGUAGGGGUAUGCGGAACUAUCGGUGGAGCGGUGAAAUGCGUUGAUGUCGAUAGGAACUCCGGUGGCGAAGGCGGCAUACUGGACCACAUCUGACGCUGAGGCGCGAAAGCCAGGGGAGCAAACGGG
RNAcentral lists this ribosomal RNA (253 nucleotides) under uncultured bacterium. RNAcentral describes it as "partial 16S ribosomal RNA". It matches the Rfam family "Bacterial small subunit ribosomal RNA", at positions 524 to 776 of the family's 1533-position model. The record is from RNAcentral.